UACGGGAGGCAGCAGUAGGGAAUCUUCGGCAAUGGGGGCAACCCUGACCGAGCAACGCCGCGUGAGUGAAGAAGGUUUUCGGAUCGUAAAACUCUGUUGUUAGAGAAGAACGUUAAGUAGAGUGGAAAAUACUUAAGUGACGGAUCAACCAGAAAG
RNAcentral lists this ribosomal RNA (156 nucleotides) under uncultured Lactococcus sp. RNAcentral describes it as "partial 16S ribosomal RNA". It matches the Rfam family "Bacterial small subunit ribosomal RNA", at positions 340 to 490 of the family's 1533-position model. Lineage: Bacteria; Bacillati; Bacillota; Bacilli; Lactobacillales; Streptococcaceae. The record is from RNAcentral.